UCUAGGUCAACAUGAACCAAUUAUAGUACUAGCUGGUGCGAUAUAUGCUGCCCGGAUAGCUAAAGUGGGCAGCGUCUGAAGACGGUAACUUUGCGGGUGUGGAGCUUUCAGCUGACGAGAACCUGUCUCAGGCCAGGGGCUUUGGAGCUUGGAACUUCCAGAGGUGUCAAAAGGAAGAACGUCGCUGUUCCUUUAGGUGAAAAAAGACGACACCGUAACAAAGCAGCAGAAAAAUAAUAACACGGUGGCAUGUUUCUUUCUGUUUGGCCGAGUAUAAGCUCACUGCUGAUUUUGUGCUUCUGUUGGUUUCCUUUGGUUUAAAUGAGCAUGAGAGAUGUUCUUGGCUGUCACUGCCUUGUUUCUUUUUGAAACUGACUCUGGCUGUGAGUCGUUGGUUCUUGGCUGUCUAGUGCCUUCAGCUCUCUGUCCAUUGUACAAGAACUUGUCAGCAUGCAAAUGUGCUAAGAUCAAUGCUGGCCUACUUCAUUAACAGUGAUAAUUCAUGCGUUUUUAUUUUUCAAGUUGUUGAGAGGUACUACUGCUAAAACGUCUCAUAUCUACGAACAGAGGAUGUUGAUUGGUGCGAAUGCCGAGUAGAAGGCAUUCUUAGUGCCCUAAGGAAAUGCCUUUGAAGUAUUUUAUGAUACUCCCUCUGUCCCAUAAUGUAAGACGUUUUUCGACACUACACUAGGGAUAGAGGGAGUAGUUAUUAAGGGGUUUGCAUUUUCUUGACGCACAACAUGACCAUAUUCUCUAACCAAGGUUAUUUCAA
Molecule: long non-coding RNA, 772 nt
Organism: Triticum aestivum (bread wheat)
Lineage: Eukaryota; Viridiplantae; Streptophyta; Magnoliopsida; Poales; Poaceae
Exons: 2
Source: RefSeq, a predicted model, not a curated record